Molecule: ribosomal RNA, 36 nt
Filed under: Anopheles culicifacies C
Lineage: Eukaryota; Metazoa; Arthropoda; Insecta; Diptera; Culicidae
Description: partial 5.8S ribosomal RNA
Source: RNAcentral
UCAACCCGACCGAUGUACACAUUCUUGAGUGCCUAC